This 135-nucleotide small RNA is filed under the name uncultured Anaerotignum sp. Its description in RNAcentral is "Clostridiales-1 RNA". It matches the Rfam family "Clostridiales-1 RNA", at positions 26 to 157 of the family's 166-position model. Lineage: Bacteria; Bacillati; Bacillota; Clostridia; Lachnospirales; Anaerotignaceae. The record is from RNAcentral.
CACGAUGCGAGCUUGCUCGCAGGAGCGCAUGAGCAUAGGACGGGCAAGCCGACAUGAGCAAAGAAGCUGUGCGUAGCAGAGCGAUUUGCGAAUGCGGAUGGCGAUUGUGAGAGUGCGCAGCACGGAACAAUCGAU